UCCCCUCACGGCUCCAUGAGGGUACACCUGCCUGAGGGAAUGGCGGGAACCAUCUCCCCCUUCCCUCACGGCUCCAUGAGGGUACACCUGCCUGAGGGAAUGGCGGGAACCAUCUCCCCCUUCCCUCACGGCUCCAUGAGGGGACACCUGCCUGAGGGAAUGGCGGGAACCAUCUCCCCUCACGGCUCCAUGAGGGGACACCUGCCUGAGGGAAUGGCGGGUGUCAUCUCCCCCUUCCCUCAUGGCUCCAUGAGGGCCUGGCUGCCAAGGGAAUGGCAGGUGCUGUUUCCCCUCACAGUUCUGUGAGGAAGUGUUACCAGAAUCCUCCAAAAACGUCAUGAGAAAUAAGACUCCACCCCUGUUUUCCAGUGUUAUCGAGCCAGGCCUUGCUUUCUUCUUGGCCCCGGCUCAUGCGAGGCUGACAAAGUUCCUCCACACCCAGGCUGAUACAAAACUUAUUUACUUAGUUAUACAUUUCCAGCAAAAGAAGCAAUUCAUUUAUUGGUAUAGCUCUUCUUUAUUAAUUUGCAGUGGUUUGUAAGCAGUGAAGCAUUGUUACCAGCCCUUAAUUACCCGAAUGUUUGUAGAGAAGUUUAUCCAGAGCCAGCUUUCCCCUCCUGCCCCUUCCAGCCUCAGGGUGAAUUCAUUCCAUGGCACACAAAGCACCCCAAGAACAGAACUACCCAGCUUCCUUGGCACAGCCAUGUUUAUUGAAAUGGCAAAUGCAAAAUAUUUUUGUCAUCUCUCUCCUCCUCCCAGGUGAGAAACGCUUCUCGUGGCCAGGGGCUGCCGCAUCCACCUGGCUCCUGGAUUAUUGGGAAUGUUCUCCGCAGCGUCCCGGCUUUUCCUGGCAGGUGUCUCCUCCAGUCCUUGGAGCAAUCCUUGGAUCCUGCAGCAUUCCUUCGUGUCCCCAAGCGCUGCCCGUGGUGACAGAGCAGCAGGUGAUGAAGAAAUGGCUCUGUGAGAGCUGAAGCGGCAGAGGAAAUUACAGCACCGGUUUUACGGACAACAAAGAGAUCCCCCCUCCUCCCCGGCAGCCUCUCUGUAACCAGAACAAACAGAAAUUCUCCUUUAAUCCAGCACUGGCCGAGUGGCACUCCGCAGUGGGGAAGUCAAGCUCUUUUUCAGCUUCUCCUGAUCAAAAUUCUCUUGUUCCCAGGAAGCAGAAAAUUGAAUUGGGCACCUGUGGAAAUGGAGGUGGAAUUUCACCUCUCCUCCCUUUGCAGAAGUUGUUUAGGCUCAGCUCUGUCCCCCUCGCUGGCUGGGAGAAGGGAAUUAUUGUCACUUCUCCAUGUCUGGAACGCAAUUCUGUGAUAAAUAAACAAUUCCAGGCGCUUGAACCUCGCCUGUUGGGAUGGGGAUUUUGGUGUGCGUGAAGCGAGAGCUCCGAAAUCCCAGCUCUGGGGACAAUUCCCGGCUGGAUGGGAGGUGGCAUCUCCCUGUGACAGUGACACCAAACACUGCUGCAGCCCCAGCUUUGGAGGUGUCACCCCUCCCAGUGUGAUUUCCAUGGGAAUCUGAUUAAACCAGCUCCGAGAGGAGCUGUGCGCAAGAAUUUUAACUAGCUGCUGCUUUUUAAUAUUCACUUCCUCUUCGGGUUUAAUUAUUUUGUUCCUGCGUUUUCCCUUUCAAUUUACUAAAACUCCAGAAAUGUAAUUAGGGAGAGGCUGAGCUGCAGAGAGCUGCCAGCGCUUCUCCACCGUGAUUAAAUGGAGCAGCCCUGCCUCCAGCGCGGGGCUGCAGGACAGGAUUCCAAUCAUUAUCCCGUUAUCCAGGAAGGAUCUGCGGCACGUCGGGAUCAGAGUUAUUGGAAAUGCAGCACUAAUUAAACUCCCCCAUCAGCAGAGGAUGAAAACGCA
Cyanistes caeruleus (blue tit) is the source of this 1859-nucleotide non-coding RNA. Lineage: Eukaryota; Metazoa; Chordata; Aves; Passeriformes; Paridae. The record is from RefSeq and is a predicted model, not a curated record.